GAUGAACGCUGGCGGCGUGCCUAAUACAUGCAAGUCGAGCGAACAGACGAGGAGCUUGCUCCUCUGACGUUAGCGGCGGACGGGUGAGUAACACGUGGAUAACCUACCUAUAAGACUGGGAUAACUUCGGGAAACCGGAGCUAAUACCGGAUAAUAUAUUGAACCGCAUGGUUCAAUAGUGAAAGACGGUUUUGCUGUCACUUAUAGAUGGAUCCGCGCCGCAUUAGCGAGUUGGUAAGGUAACGGCUUAUCAAGGCGACGAUGCGUAGCCGACCUGAGAGGGUGAUCGGCCACACUGGAACUGAGACACGGUCCAGACUCCUACGGGAGGCAGCAGUAGGGAAUCUUCCGCAAUGGGCGAAAGCCUGACGGAGCAACGCCGCGUGAGUGAUGAAGGUCUUCGGAUCGUAAAACUCUGUUAUUAGGGAAGAACAAAUGUGUAAGUAACUAUGCCCGUCUUGACGGUACCUAAUCAGAAAGCCACGGCUAACUACGUG
This 497-nucleotide ribosomal RNA is filed under the name uncultured bacterium. RNAcentral's name for it is "partial 16S ribosomal RNA". It matches the Rfam family "Bacterial small subunit ribosomal RNA", at positions 28 to 507 of the family's 1533-position model. The record is from RNAcentral.